CGUGGAUAAUCUGCCCUAAGGUGGAGGAUAACCUCGGAAAACUGAGAAUAAUACUCCAUAAGUCUAGGAUGCUGGAAUGCACUUAGGCUGAAAACUCCGGUGCCUUAGGAUGAGUCUGCGGACUAUCAGGUUGUAGUCAGGGUAAAGACCUGACUAGCCUACGACGGAUACGGGUUGUGAGAGCAAUAACCCGGAGAUGAUAUCUGAGACACGAUAUCAGGCCCUACGGGGCGCAGCAGGCGCGAAAACUUCACACUGCGCGAAAGCGCGAUGAGGGAAUCCCAAGUGCUUGCACGUAAGUGUAAGCUGUUUUUAUGUUUAAAAAGCAUAGAGAGUAAGAGCUGGGUAAGACGGGUGCCAGCCGCCGCGGUAAUACCUGCAGCUCAAGUGGUGAUCGUUAUUAUUGGGCCUAAAACGUCCGUAGCCUGUCUAUUAAAUGCCUGGGUAAAUCGUGUAGCUUAACUAUACGAAUUCCGGGUAGACUGGUAGACUUGAGACUGGGAGAGGCUAGAGGUACUCCUGGGGUAGAGGUGAAAUUCUGUAAUCCUGGGGGGACCACCAGUGGCGAAGGCGUCUAGCCAGAACGGGUCUGACGGUG
RNAcentral lists this ribosomal RNA (598 nucleotides) under uncultured archaeon. Its description in RNAcentral is "bacterial SSU rRNA". It matches the Rfam family "Archaeal small subunit ribosomal RNA", at positions 99 to 699 of the family's 1478-position model. The record is from RNAcentral.